This 2125-nucleotide unclassified non-coding RNA is filed under the name Hevea brasiliensis (rubber tree). Lineage: Eukaryota; Viridiplantae; Streptophyta; Magnoliopsida; Malpighiales; Euphorbiaceae. The record is from RNAcentral.
AGCUGACAGAAAGAAGCUUAAACGAACCGUUAAAGAUAGAUUUCCUCGCGCUUCUGACGCCGAUAUGGAUAAUUUACUCCCUCCCAAAGCUGAGAUAACUGUUUCAAAGUUUCAAAAUCGUGUCCAUGUAUUUGGUGUUGAAGGUGGCUUUCCUAUGUUUUUCGAUGUAGAUGGGCGAGGCAAUGAAAUUUUUCCCACAGUAUUUGCUCUCUGGAAGGUCCCUGAAUUGUUGCCUUCUUUUAUGCUUAAAGGCGGUGAGGUCUCUAGGUUUGUCAUUGGAGGGGCAGAUUUGAUGUUCCCUGGUAUAAAUAUACCUGCUGAAGGCCUACCUUCUUUUUCAUCUGGGGAACCAUGGGCAGUAAAAGUACCUGGCAAUCCAGCACCAAUUGCAGUUGGAUCUACUACUAUGAGCAGCACUGACGCCGUAAAAGCUGGAUUUCGUGGAAAGGCCUUAAGGAUAACUCAUUAUUACCGGGACUUACUUUGGGAGUCAGUUGAGGGCCAUUAUGUGCCAAAUGCAGGUUUCUUGGAAGAUGCUGUCUUUGAGGAUCCUGCUUCCACAUCAUCAGUUCAUAGUUCUGAUGAGUGUCAAGCUACUAGUGAUGCUUCAUAUGAGCAGCAGAAUGAGGUUGAGAGCAAAGAAAUUGGGGAAUCUGCUGAUAUGAAUGAUGUUAUAUCAGAACCUUAUCCCUCUCUAAUUGCGGAACUUGAUUGUAAAAAUGAUAUUGUAGAACAAGUCACUGCAGAUGCAAGUAAUUUGAAUGUAACAGAUAAUGUUGCAGCUGAUGAAUCAGCUACUGAGGAGCAGUACACAUUGUCAACUGCAGACGUGGAUGCUUAUUUGGAUAAAUGCCUGUUGCAAGCCCUGCAUACAACUGUUAAGGACAAAGAUCUUCCAAUGCCUGGUAGCACUUUAUGGUCCAAUCAUGUUUUACCUUGUAGGCCAUCUGGCAUCAUGCUAGAUAUCAAGAAGUCAUCCCACAAGAAAUUGUCAAAGUGGUUACAAUCUAAAUCAUCUGCAGCAUUGAUUUCAGUAAAGGAAGACAAAUAUAAAAAGGAGACUGUAUUAGUUUCCGUUAACCGCAGUCACCCAGAUUUCUUAUCCUUCAAGCCAGAGAAGAGGCAGGAACAAAAAAUUGAUCAGGCUGCUGACCAAGCUACUACCAGUGAAAGUCGGCUAAAAAAAAUGCUUGAAGUGGUGGAGAUCUACAAACCAAGUGUGCAUGUCAAUCCCAUUUUUGCUUCUGUUGGUGCUGAUACAGGGAAACUUUACAGUGCUUCAGAAGCUUCUGAUAUAGUAUGCAAGUAUAUUGAGAAAGAAAAUCUAGUCAAGCCAACAAAUAAGGCCUUCGUAGUUUUAGAUCCAACACUAUGUGAUGCUUUGUUCAAGGGAACAAUUAAGAAAGGAUCAACAUACCCUACAGAGAUUCAUAAGAAAGAUCUAGGAUUGACAUUUGUAAGCCGGAUGCAAGCCCAUUACGUUGUGACCAGGGGAAGUGAGUCUGUUGUUCGUAAAGGUUCAUUAAAGACAAUUCAAAUUGUAACAGAAAGGCGUCAAGGUAACAAGAAGGUGACAAAAGUCUCAGGUGUAGAAACAUUCUUGAUGGAUGCUGAAGCAUUGGCGUCAGAGCUGCAGAAAAAAUUUGCUUGCAGUACGUCAGUGCAAGAGCUACCAGGCAAGAAAGGGCAUGAGGUUCUCAUUCAAGGUGGUGUGAUUGAUGAUGUAGCACGGCAUCUGGUUGAACAGUAUGGGGUUCCAAAGAGAUAUAUUGAGGUUCUUGAUAAAACCAAGAAAUGAGAAGUGUACCUAAUGGUGGGGUAUUCACGAGGUUUGAAGGGUGCAAUUGCUUAACUACAACUUACAGCCUCAUGAGCCAAAUUGGUGCAUUGAAGUUUUGAUCAAUCCCAGAAAUAAAAUGCUCAAGGAAGCUCAGAAUUGAGGUUAUAAGUGCAUAAAGCUUUUUUGCAAAAAUGUCCCAACAGUUUAAGUUUGAGAAAAUGGUCUGUUUGAGCUGACUGCGGAACUUGUACAUCUAUUUAUUAUGAUCCUUUUGUUUCACCAAACCGAUGUAAAUUUUCAUUCUAAAUGCACUGGUUUCCUAUAACUACAGGUUUUGCUUUCUUC